This 1016-nucleotide ribosomal RNA is filed under the name uncultured bacterium. Its description in RNAcentral is "bacterial SSU rRNA". It matches the Rfam family "Bacterial small subunit ribosomal RNA", at positions 357 to 1376 of the family's 1533-position model. The record is from RNAcentral.
AGGAAUAUUGGUCAAUGGGCGAGAGCCUGAACCAGCCAAGUAGCGUGAAGGAUGAAGGUCCUACGGAUUGUAAACUUCUUUUAUACGGGAAUAAAGUUUCCUACGUGUAGGAUUUUGUAUGUACCGUAUGAAUAAGCAUCGGCUAACUCCGUGCCAGCAGCCGCGGUAAUACGGAGGAUGCGAGCGUUAUCCGGAUUUAUUGGGUUUAAAGGGAGCGCAGACGGGAGAUUAAGUCAGUUGUGAAAGUUUGCGGCUCAACCGUAAAAUUGCAGUUGAUACUGGUUUCCUUGAGUGCAGUUGAGGCAGGCGGAAUUCGUGGUGUAGCGGUGAAAUGCUUAGAUAUCACGAAGAACCCCGAUUGCGAAGGCAGCUUGCUAAACUGUAACUGACGUUCAUGCUCGAAAGUGUGGGUAUCAAACAGGAUUAGAUACCCUGGUAGUCCACACGGUAAACGAUGGAUACUCGCUGUUGGCGAUAUACUGUCAGCGGCCAAGCGAAAGCAUUAAGUAUCCCACCUGGGGAGUACGCCGGCAACGGUGAAACUCAAAGGAAUUGACGGGGGCCCGCACAAGCGGAGGAACAUGUGGUUUAAUUCGAUGAUACGCGAGGAACCUUACCCGGGCUUAAAUUGCAGACGAAUUACGAGGAAACUUGUAAGCCGCAAGGCGUCUGUGAAGGUGCUGCAUGGUUGUCGUCAGCUCGUGCCGUGAGGUGUCGGCUUAAGUGCCAUAACGAGCGCAACCCUCGUGGUCAGUUACUAACAGGUUAAGCUGAGGACUCUGGCCAGACUGCCAUCGUAAGAUGUGAGGAAGGUGGGGAUGACGUCAAAUCAGCACGGCCCUUACGUCCGGGGCUACACACGUGUUACAAUGGGAGGUACAGAAGGCAGCUACCCGGCGACGGGAUGCCAAUCCCCAAAACCUCUCUCAGUUCGGACUGGAGUCUGCAACCCGACUCCACGAAGCUGGAUUCGCUAGUAAUCGCGCAUCAGCCACGGCGCGGUGAAUACGUUCCCG